Molecule: small RNA, 480 nt
Filed under: Histoplasma capsulatum
Lineage: Eukaryota; Fungi; Ascomycota; Eurotiomycetes; Onygenales; Ajellomycetaceae
Also listed under: 1 other name
Description: hypothetical RNA
Source: RNAcentral
AAGGGAUGUGAUUGUUAUUGACGAGGAGAUGGUGGGUUAGAGAGAGGGGAGUUACUCUGUAUCUUGCAGGUUUGUUUGCGUCUUGAAAACUUCCGUGGUUGGGUUGGUUUAGUUGUCACUAGAAUUCGACUAUUGGUUUUUCAUGCAUUCGGCUGGCUUGUUUGUUUCUUUGGUUGUUGACUCCAAUUUUGGCUUGGCUAUGACACUGUGAGUACUUCGGAUAUGAAAACAGGAAGAAAAAUCCAAAAGGCGGGAGAGGGCUGCCGCCGGAAGAUUGCGGGAAUAAUGGAGAUUGUUUGAACCCUUCCGUGCCGAGCACAGAGUACAGGGUCCAGUAUACAUUCCUUUGGAACGAAACGAUAGUUAUCAGCGUCUUCGAGUCCUUGCAUCAAUCACCAUUGACAAAAUGGCGCAUUGGUAAGUACACCGUGUCUCUCGAGGUUGUCAAGCCCCAUACAAUCGUGCAUGUCAAUAUGGAGA